UACGGGGGGAGCAAGCGUUGUUCGGAUGUACUGGGCGGAAAGGGCGCGUAGGCGGCCACCGCAAGUCGACUGUGAAAUCUCCGGGCUUAACCCGGAACGGUCAGCCGAUACUGCGGGGCUAGAGUGCAGAAGGGGCAACUGGAAUUCUCGGUGUAGCGGUGAAAUGCGUAGAUAUCGAGAGGACCACCUGCGGCGAAGGCGGGUUGCUGGGCUGACACUGACGCUGAGGCGCGAAAGCUAGGGGAGCGAACGGG
This 254-nucleotide ribosomal RNA is filed under the name uncultured bacterium. RNAcentral describes it as "partial 16S ribosomal RNA". It matches the Rfam family "Bacterial small subunit ribosomal RNA", at positions 524 to 776 of the family's 1533-position model. The record is from RNAcentral.